RNAcentral lists this ribosomal RNA (25 nucleotides) under Leucocoprinus gongylophorus. Its description in RNAcentral is "Leucoagaricus gongylophorus partial 18S ribosomal RNA". Lineage: Eukaryota; Fungi; Basidiomycota; Agaricomycetes; Agaricales; Agaricaceae. The record is from RNAcentral.
AGGAUCAUUAUUGAAUAAUUCUUGA